AUGCAGUCGAGCGACGGACGAGAGUGCUUGCACUCUCUGAUGUUAGCGGCGGACGGGUGAGUAACACGUGGGUAACCUACCUAUAAGACUGGGAUAACUUCGGGAAACCGGAGCUAAUACCGGAUAAUAUUUAGCUUCGCAUGAAGCAAUAGUGAAAGACGGUUCUGCUGUCACUUAUAGAUGGACCCGCGGUGUAUUAGCUAGUUGGUGAGGUAACGGCUCACCAAGGCAACGAUACAUAGCCGACCUGAGAGGGUGAUCGGCCACACUGGGACUGAGACACGGCCCAGACUCCUACGGGAGGCAGCAGUAGGGAAUCUUCCGCAAUGGACGAAAGUCUGACGGAGCAACGCCGCGUGAGUGAAGAAGGUUUUCGGAUCGUAAAACUCUGUUGUAAGGGAAGAACAAGUACGUUAGUAACUGAACGUACCUUGACGGUACCUUACCAGAAAGCCACGGCUAACUACGUGCCAGCAGCCGCGGUAAUACGUAGGUGGCAAGCGUUAUCCGGAAUUAUUGGGCGUAAAGCGCGCGUAGGCGGUCUCUUAAGUCUGAUGUGAAAGCCCCCGGCUCAACCGGGGAGGGUCAUUGGAA
RNAcentral lists this ribosomal RNA (594 nucleotides) under Macrococcoides caseolyticum. Its description in RNAcentral is "bacterial SSU rRNA". It matches the Rfam family "Bacterial small subunit ribosomal RNA", at positions 55 to 631 of the family's 1533-position model. The record is from RNAcentral. Lineage: Bacteria; Bacillati; Bacillota; Bacilli; Caryophanales; Staphylococcaceae.